GUGUCGUCAGCUCGUGCCGUGAGGUGUCGGGUUAAGUCCCAUAACGAGCGCAACCCUUAUCGUUAGUUGCCAGCUGGUAAAGCAGGGGACUCUAGCGAAACUGCCACCGUAAGGUGAGAGGAAGGUGGGGAUGACGUCAAAUCAGCACGGCCCUUAUGUCCAGGGCUACACACGUGUUACAAUGGCCGGCACAGAGGGCAGCUACCUGGUGACAGGAUGCUAAUCUCGAAAACCGGUCUCAGUUCGGAUCGAAGUCUGCAACUCGACUUCGUGAAGCUGGAUUCGCUAGUAAUCGCGCAUCAGCCAUGGCGCGGUGAAUACGUUCCCGGGCCUU
RNAcentral lists this ribosomal RNA (334 nucleotides) under uncultured Sphingobacteriales bacterium. Its description in RNAcentral is "bacterial SSU rRNA". It matches the Rfam family "Bacterial small subunit ribosomal RNA", at positions 1049 to 1382 of the family's 1533-position model. Lineage: Bacteria; Pseudomonadati; Bacteroidota; Sphingobacteriia; Sphingobacteriales. The record is from RNAcentral.